GACGAAGGUGGCGACCGUUGUUCGGAAUCACUGGGCAUAAAGAGCACGUAGGCGGCAAGGUAUGUCGGGUGUGAAAUCCCUCGGCCCAACCGAGGAAUUGCGCCCGAAACUACCCUGCUUGAGGAUGGAAGGGGAGCGUGGAAUUCCUGGUGGAGCGGUGAAAUGCGUUGAUAUCAGGAGGAACACCGGCGGCGAAGGCGACGCUCUGGUCCAUUUCUGACGCUGAGGUGCGAAAGCCAGGGGAGCAAACGGG
This 253-nucleotide ribosomal RNA is filed under the name uncultured bacterium. Its description in RNAcentral is "partial 16S ribosomal RNA". It matches the Rfam family "Bacterial small subunit ribosomal RNA", at positions 524 to 776 of the family's 1533-position model. The record is from RNAcentral.